GACGAACGCUGGCGGCGUGCUUAACACAUGCAAGUCGAACGGAAAGACCCUGCUUUUGUGGGGUGCUCGAGUGGCGAACGGGUGAGUAACACGUGAGUAACCUGCCCUUGACUUUGGGAUAACUUCAGGAAACUGGGGCUAAUACCGGAUAGGAGCUCCUGCUGCAUGGUGGGGUUGGAAAGUUUCGGCGGUUGGGGAUGGACUCGCGGCUUAUCAGCUUGUUGGUGGGGUAGUGGCUUACCAAGGCUUUGACGGGUAGCCGGCCUGAGAGGGUGACCGGCCACAUUGGGACUGAGAUACGGCCCAGACUCCUACGGGAGGCAGCAGUGGGGAAUAUUGUACAAUGGGCGGAAGCCUGAUGCAGCAACGCCGCGUGCGGGAUGACGGCCUUCGGGUUGUAAACCGCUUUCGCCUGUGACGAAGCGUGAGUGACGGUAAUGGGUAAAGAAGCACCGGCUAACUACGUG
RNAcentral lists this ribosomal RNA (467 nucleotides) under uncultured bacterium. RNAcentral's name for it is "partial 16S ribosomal RNA". It matches the Rfam family "Bacterial small subunit ribosomal RNA", at positions 28 to 507 of the family's 1533-position model. The record is from RNAcentral.